UGAGUACGAGAUGCUACGGCAUCGAAGCAGUCUAUGUCAUACUUCCAAGAAAAGCUCGCACUGUCAAAAACAAAUUAAUGCCUGUACCAUAACCGACACAGGUGGGUAGGUAGAGUAUACUAAGGGGCGCGAGAUAACUCUCUCUAAGGAACUCGGCAAAAUAACUCCGUAACUUCGGGAGAAGGAGUGCCUUUUGAAGGCUGCAAUAACCAGAUCCAAGCAACUGUUUAUCAAAAACACAGGUCUCCGCUAAGUCGUAAGACGAUGUAUGGGGGCUGACGCCUGCCCAGUGCCAGAAGGUUAAAGAAGUUGGUUAGCCCUGCGAAGCUGAUGACUGAAGCCCUGGUGAACGGCGGCCGUAACUAUAACGGUCCUAAGGUAGCGAAAUUCCUUGUCGGGUAAGUUCCGACCCGCACGAAAGGCGUAAUGAUUUGGAUACUGUCUCGGAGAGGGACUCGGUGAAAUAGACUUGUCUGUGAAGAUGCGGACUACCUGCACCAGGACAGAAAGACCCUAUGAAGCUUUACUGUAACUUGAGAUUGAAAUUGGACUUUACUUGCGCAGUAUAGGUGGGAGGCGUUGAAAAUAUUCUUGCGGGAAUAUCGGAGCCAUCAGUGAGAUACCACUCUUGUAAUGUUAGAUUUCUAACUUUGUAUCAUUAUCUGGUCAAAGAACAGUCUCAGGCGGGCAGUUUGACUGGGGCGGUCGCCUCCCAAACGGUAACGGAGGCGCACAAAGGUUUCCUCUGAACGGGUAGAAAUCGUAUCUAGAGUGUAAAGGCAUAAGGAAGCUUGACUGUGAGACCUACAAGUCGAGCAGGGACGAAAGUCGGUCUUAGUGACCUGACGGUGCUGAGUGGAAAGGCCGUCACUCAACGGAUAAAAGUUACUCUAGGAUAACAGGCUGAUCUCCCCCAAGAGUUCACAUCGACGGGGAGGUUUGGCACCUCGAUGUCGGCUCAUCGCAUCCUGGGGCGGUAGUACGUCCCAAGGGUUGGGCUGUUCGCCCAUGAAAGCGGUACGCGAGCUGGGUUCAGAACGUCGAGAGACAGUUCGGUCCAUAUCCGGUGUAGGCGUUAGAAUAUUGAGAGGAGCCUUCUUUAGUACGAGAGGACCGAGAAGGACAUACCUCUGGUGUACCAGUUAUCGUGCCAACGGUAAACGCUGGGUAGCUAUGUAUGGAGUGGAUAACCGCUGAAAGCAUCUAAGUGGGAAGCCCACCUCAAGAUAAGUAUUCUCA
RNAcentral lists this ribosomal RNA (1239 nucleotides) under metagenome. RNAcentral's name for it is "bacterial LSU rRNA". It matches the Rfam family "Bacterial large subunit ribosomal RNA", at positions 1564 to 2816 of the family's 2925-position model. The record is from RNAcentral.